UCUUUCUGUAUAAUUCAAGAGUCCAAAGAAAAACCCAAAAUAGUCAUAUCUGAGUCAGCUAAAAGUGACAGACCUGGAGUCAACUCUUAGGAGAAAUUAUGAAAGGGGGUGUUGCUGUAUAAGAAAUCUGUGGAGAAAUGUAUUGUUAUAAGUGUGAAAGAGUGUAAGGAUCUCAAUAUUCAGACCAAACCAAUCCCCAAAGAAGGAACUUCAAAAAAUUUACCAAGGAAGGAGUAAUUCUUACUAUUGUUAAAUAAGCCUCUUUUUCAUGAUCACAGAAUCAUGAGUAUAUCAUUUGCUAAAUUUCUUAUAUAAAAGGUACUGAUUCAUGGAUUUAAAAAGAAGUUAAUAAAUAUUUAGUCAAAACAUCA
This 371-nucleotide long non-coding RNA is filed under the name Castor canadensis (American beaver). RNAcentral describes it as "lncRNA (ENSCCNG00000006147.1)". The record is from RNAcentral. Lineage: Eukaryota; Metazoa; Chordata; Mammalia; Rodentia; Castoridae.